ACUUGGAACCGGGAGAGGUAAGAGGUACUACAGGGGUAGGAGUGAAAGUCUUGGUAAAUCCCUGUGGGACCACCUGUGGCGAAGGCGUCUUACCAGAACGGGUUCGACGGUGAGGGACGAAAGCUGGGGGCACGAACCGGAUUAGAUACCCGGGUAGUCCCAGCCGUAAACGAUGCUCGCUAGGUGUCAGGCAUGGCGCGACCGUGUCUGGUGCCGCAGGGAAGCCGUGAAGCGAGCCACCUGGGAAGUACGGCCGCAAGGCUGAAACUUAAAGGAAUUGGCGGGGGAGCACGACAACGGGUGGAAGCCUGCGGUUUAAUUGGACUCAACGCCGGACAACUCACCGGGGGCGACAGCAAUAUGUAGGCCAAGCUGAAGACUUUGCCUGAAUCGCUGAGUAGAGGUGCAUGG
RNAcentral lists this ribosomal RNA (411 nucleotides) under uncultured archaeon. Its description in RNAcentral is "bacterial SSU rRNA". It matches the Rfam family "Archaeal small subunit ribosomal RNA", at positions 591 to 997 of the family's 1478-position model. The record is from RNAcentral.